RNAcentral lists this ribosomal RNA (253 nucleotides) under uncultured bacterium. RNAcentral describes it as "partial 16S ribosomal RNA". It matches the Rfam family "Bacterial small subunit ribosomal RNA", at positions 524 to 776 of the family's 1533-position model. The record is from RNAcentral.
GACAGAGGGUGCAAACGUUGUUCGGAAUUACUGGGCGUAAAGGGCGCGUAGGCGGCCUUCUAAGUCGAACGUGAAAUCCCUGGGCUCAACCCAGGAACUGCGUCCGAUACUGGGAGGCUUGAAUCCGGGAGAGGGAUGCGGAAUUCCAGGUGUAGCGGUGAAAUGCGUAGAUAUCUGGAGGAACACCGGUGGCGAAGGCGGCAUCCUGGACCGGCAUUGACGCUGAGGCACAAAAGCUUAGGUAUCAAACAGG